GUCCACGCAGUAAACGGUGAUCACUAGGUGUAGCGGGUAUUGACCCCUGCUGUGCCGCAGUUAACGCAUUAAGUGAUCCGCCUGGGGAGUACGAUCGCAAGGUUAAAACUCAAAGGAAUUGACGGGGGCCCGCACAAGCGGUGGAGCAUGUGGUUUAAUUCGACGCAACGCGAAGAACCUUACCUGGACUUGACAUCUGAGGAAUCCUUAUGAAAGUAGGGAGUGCCCUUCGGGGAGCCUCAAGACAGGUGCUGCAUGGCUGUCGU
Molecule: ribosomal RNA, 266 nt
Filed under: uncultured bacterium
Lineage: Bacteria
Description: partial 16S ribosomal RNA
Rfam family: Bacterial small subunit ribosomal RNA
Source: RNAcentral